ACACGUAGGGCGCAAGCGUUGUCCGGAUUUAUUGGGCGUAAAGGGCUCGUAGGCGGUUUCGUAAGUCGGGUGUGAAAACUCAGGGCUCAACCCUGAGACGCCACUCGAUACUGCGAUGACUUGAGUCCGGUAGGGGAGCAGGGAAUUCCUGGUGUAGCGGUGAAAUGCGCAGAUAUCAGGAGGAACACCAUUAGCGAAGGCGCUGCUCUGGGCCGGUACUGACGCUGAGGAGCGAAAGCAUGGGGAGCAAACAGGAUUAGAUACCCUAGUAGUCC
Molecule: ribosomal RNA, 275 nt
Filed under: uncultured bacterium
Lineage: Bacteria
Description: partial 16S ribosomal RNA
Rfam family: Bacterial small subunit ribosomal RNA
Source: RNAcentral